CGGGGUUCACUUUCUUCUUGGUCCGAAGUUCGAACAGAAGAGGCAUUCGAACAGUGUCGUCGCCUUCCUCCUUCCACUGGUAACUGGGAAAUCUUUUCUUUCUCUCUCUGAUUGUUCCCCGUAUUCUCUCCCACCUUCGGUUCUUCUUAUCCGUCUCCAUCGUCUCUCUGUCUUUCCUCGGGCCUAAGCUGAGUCGUUAACAAAGAACGUCAUUCAUCGCCUUCGACCUCAAGACAGAGAACAGAGCAGCGGUGCUAGAUUCAGAUCCACUCGACCCUUUUCUCUGGCUUUCCUCUUUCAACUCUUCAGCUUUCAUCAACCGAGGGCGACUAAUUUGAAGACGGAGCUCAUCUGAAAUCUCCCCCAUUGCAUCGAUCAGAGUCUAGGCCGAAAUCCCAGCCCAGAGGAUCUAAUAAUCCAAGUAGUCUGGCUGAAUGUAAUAUCAUAACUGCAAGCUUGGAUAUCUUAUUAACAAUGGGGCUUCAUGUCUUAUGCUUCAAAGUUCAAACUCCAGAGUUCAAUUAUGGAUUGCAGGUCAAAAAUUGUUCUUAGGGUAUGGUUACUGGAAGUGAAGACUGAAGAGAUAUUUUUAGGCAGCCAUUGGAAGGAUGCAACAGGAUUGUAAUGGCCCCUGGAUCCUAUGCCCUUUUAUCAGAGAAGCUAGACCUUUAGUUCCUGGAGUGAAGAUCUCUUUUAUAUGGAUGUCAAUAUUGUAGAUAUGUAGAGUAACAGUAUUAUUACCUACCUAAUGUAUAUGGUUUUCACUUUGUGCCAGCUCAAAAUUCUUUUCGGGAAUGAAGUUAAAAACUUUGUUUUUAUUUGUGUAAUAGAUUAUUUGGUUGCUCUAUAAGAAUCACUUUCACCUUC
Nelumbo nucifera (sacred lotus) is the source of this 867-nucleotide non-coding RNA. NCBI's taxonomy places the organism in Eukaryota, Viridiplantae, Streptophyta, Magnoliopsida, Proteales, Nelumbonaceae. The record is from RefSeq and is a predicted model, not a curated record.